This 201-nucleotide ribosomal RNA is filed under the name Triticum aestivum (bread wheat). RNAcentral's name for it is "partial small subunit ribosomal RNA". The record is from RNAcentral. Lineage: Eukaryota; Viridiplantae; Streptophyta; Magnoliopsida; Poales; Poaceae.
AUGAAGUCAAUAGCUGAUGAGGAACCUAAGAAGUACCAAUCUCACUUCAGUGAGUACAUCUGGAAGAAUAUUGCGGCCGAUGACAUGGAAGCACUGUACAAUAAGGUUCAUGCUGCCAUUUGUGCUUAUCCUACCAUGGCAAGAUCAACCAAGGAACCUCCAAAGACGCACAAGAAUUGGAUAUAUCUUGCUGUUUAUUAA